CGAGUCGGCCGGACGGUCGCGUCGGGGCCCCUGGAGGGCACCCGCCGAGGAAAGUCCGGGCUCCACAGGGAACGGUGGUGGCCAACAGCCACCCGGGGUGACCCGCGGGACAGUGCCACAGAGAACAGACCGCCCGUGCACGCACGGGUGAGGGUGAAACGGUGGUGUAAGAGACCACCAGCGCGCCAGGUGACUGGCGUGGCUCGGCAAACCCCACCGGGAGCAAGGUCAGACAGCGCGUGUCCGAGGGCGUCCCGCCCGAGCGCGCGGGUAGACCGCUGGAGGUGGCUGGCAACAGCCACCCGAGAUGGAUGGCCGUCACCCGGCCCGGAGUGAUCCGGGCCGGGCACAGGACCCGGCUUACAGGCCGGCUCGUCUC
This is a non-coding RNA of Kytococcus sedentarius DSM 20547, 379 nucleotides long. NCBI's taxonomy places the organism in Bacteria, Bacillati, Actinomycetota, Actinomycetes, Micrococcales, Kytococcaceae. The record is from Rfam.